Molecule: ribosomal RNA, 256 nt
Filed under: uncultured bacterium
Lineage: Bacteria
Description: partial 16S ribosomal RNA
Rfam family: Bacterial small subunit ribosomal RNA
Source: RNAcentral
UACGAAGGGGGCUAGCGUUGUUCGGAAUUACUGGGCGUAAAGCGCGUGUAGGCGGGUCUUUUAAGUCAGAGGUGAAAGCCCGGGGCUCAACCCCGGAAUUGCCUUUGAGACUGCAUCGCUUGAACAUCGGAGGAGGUAAGUUGGAAUUCCGAGUGUAGAGGUGAAAUUCGUAGAUAUUCGGAAGAACACCAGUGGCGAAGGCGACUUACUGGACGAUUGUUGACGCUGAGGUGCGAAAGCGUGGGGAGCAAACAGG